This 2758-nucleotide ribosomal RNA is filed under the name Klebsiella pneumoniae. Its description in RNAcentral is "bacterial LSU rRNA". It matches the Rfam family "Bacterial large subunit ribosomal RNA". RNAcentral also lists the same sequence under 1 other name. The record is from RNAcentral. Lineage: Bacteria; Pseudomonadati; Pseudomonadota; Gammaproteobacteria; Enterobacterales; Enterobacteriaceae.
CACUAUCGUUAACUGAAUACAUAGGUUAACGAGGCGAACCGGGGGAACUGAAACAUCUAAGUACCCCGAGGAAAAGAAAUCAACCGAGAUUCCCCCAGUAGCGGCGAGCGAACGGGGAGCAGCCCAGAGUCUGAAUCAGCUUGUGUGUUAGUGGAACGGUCUGGAAAGUCCGACGGUACAGGGUGAUAGUCCCGUACACCAAAAUGCACAGGCUGUGAACUCGAAGAGUAGGGCGGGACACGUGGUAUCCUGUCUGAAUAUGGGGGGACCAUCCUCCAAGGCUAAAUACUCCUGACUGACCGAUAGUGAACCAGUACCGUGAGGGAAAGGCGAAAAGAACCCCGGCGAGGGGAGUGAAAAAGAACCUGAAACCGUGUACGUACAAGCAGUGGGAGCACCUUCGGGUGUGACUGCGUACCUUUUGUAUAAUGGGUCAGCGACUUAUAUUCUGUAGCAAGGUUAACCGUAUAGGGGAGCCGCAGGGAAACCGAGUCUUAACUGGGCGUUAAGUUGCAGGGUAUAGACCCGAAACCCGGUGAUCUAGCCAUGGGCAGGUUGAAGGUUGGGUAACACUAACUGGAGGACCGAACCGACUAAUGUUGAAAAAUUAGCGGAUGACUUGUGGCUGGGGGUGAAAGGCCAAUCAAACCGGGAGAUAGCUGGUUCUCCCCGAAAGCUAUUUAGGUAGCGCCUCGUGAAUUCAUCUUCGGGGGUAGAGCACUGUUUCGGCUAGGGGGUCAUCCCGACUUACCAACCCGAUGCAAACUACGAAUACCGAAGAAUGUUAUCACGGGAGACACACGGCGGGUGCUAACGUCCGUCGUGAAGAGGGAAACAACCCAGACCGCCAGCUAAGGUCCCAAAGUCAUGGUUAAGUGGGAAACGAUGUGGGAAGGCACAGACAGCCAGGAUGUUGGCUUAGAAGCAGCCAUCAUUUAAAGAAAGCGUAAUAGCUCACUGGUCGAGUCGGCCUGCGCGGAAGAUGUAACGGGGCUAAACCAUGCACCGAAGCUGCGGCAGCGACACUAUGUGUUGUUGGGUAGGGGAGCGUUCUGUAAGCCUGCGAAGGUGUGCUGUGAGGCAUGCUGGAGGUAUCAGAAGUGCGAAUGCUGACAUAAGUAACGAUAAAGCGGGUGAAAAGCCCGCUCGCCGGAAGACCAAGGGUUCCUGUCCAACGUUAAUCGGGGCAGGGUGAGUCGACCCCUAAGGCGAGGCCGAAAGGCGUAGUCGAUGGGAAACAGGUUAAUAUUCCUGUACUUGGUGUUACUGCGAAGGGGGGACGGAGAAGGCUAUGUUAGCCGGGCGACGGUUGUCCCGGUUUAAGCAUGUAGGCUGAUUGUCCAGGCAAAUCCGGAUAAUCAAGGCUGAGGUGUGAUGACGAGGCACUACGGUGCUGAAGUAACAAAUGCCCUGCUUCCAGGAAAAGCCUCUAAGCAUCAGGUAACAUCAAAUCGUACCCCAAACCGACACAGGUGGUCAGGUAGAGAAUACCAAGGCGCUUGAGAGAACUCGGGUGAAGGAACUAGGCAAAAUGGUGCCGUAACUUCGGGAGAAGGCACGCUGGUGUGUAGGUGAAGUCCCUGCGGAUGGAGCUGAGACCAGUCGAAGAUACCAGCUGGCUGCAACUGUUUAUUAAAAACACAGCACUGUGCAAACACGAAAGUGGACGUAUACGGUGUGACGCCUGCCCGGUGCCGGAAGGUUAAUUGAUGGGGUUAUCCGUAAGGAGAAGCUCUUGAUCGAAGCCCCGGUAAACGGCGGCCGUAACUAUAACGGUCCUAAGGUAGCGAAAUUCCUUGUCGGGUAAGUUCCGACCUGCACGAAUGGCGUAAUGAUGGCCAGGCUGUCUCCACCCGAGACUCAGUGAAAUUGAACUCGCUGUGAAGAUGCAGUGUACCCGCGGCAAGACGGAAAGACCCCGUGAACCUUUACUAUAGCUUGACACUGAACAUUGAGCCUUGAUGUGUAGGAUAGGUGGGAGGCUUUGAAGCGUGGACGCCAGUCUGCGUGGAGCCAACCUUGAAAUACCACCCUUUAAUGUUUGAUGUUCUAACGUUGGCCCCUUACCGGGGUUGCGGACAGUGUCUGGUGGGUAGUUUGACUGGGGCGGUCUCCUCCCAAAGCGUAACGGAGGAGCACGAAGGUUAGCUAAUCCUGGUCGGACAUCAGGAGGUUAGUGCAAUGGCAUAAGCUAGCUUGACUGCGAGCGUGACGGCGCGAGCAGGUGCGAAAGCAGGUCAUAGUGAUCCGGUGGUUCUGAAUGGAAGGGCCAUCGCUCAACGGAUAAAAGGUACUCCGGGGAUAACAGGCUGAUACCGCCCAAGAGUUCAUAUCGACGGCGGUGUUUGGCACCUCGAUGUCGGCUCAUCACAUCCUGGGGCUGAAGUAGGUCCCAAGGGUAUGGCUGUUCGCCAUUUAAAGUGGUACGCGAGCUGGGUUUAGAACGUCGUGAGACAGUUCGGUCCCUAUCUGCCGUGGGCGCUGGAGAAUUGAGGGGGGCUGCUCCUAGUACGAGAGGACCGGAGUGGACGCAUCACUGGUGUUCGGGUUGUCAUGCCAAUGGCACUGCCCGGUAGCUAAAUGCGGAAGAGAUAAGUGCUGAAAGCAUCUAAGCACGAAACUUGCCCCGAGAUGAGUUCUCCCUGAGACUUUAAGUCUCCUGAAGGAACGUUAAAGACGAUGACGUUGAUAGGCCGGGUGUGUAAGCGCAGCGAUGCGUUGAGCUAACCGGUACUAAUGAACCGUGAGGCUUAACCUU